CACGUAGUUAGCCGGUGCUUCUUCUACACCUACCGUCACCACCCGAAGAUGGCUUCGUCGGUGUCGAAAGAGGUUUACAACCCGAAGGCCGUCAUCCCCCACGCGGCGUUGCUGCGUCAGGCUUUCGCCCAUUGCGCAAGAUUCCCCCACUGCUGCCUCCCGUAGGAGUCUGGGCCGUGUCUCAGUCCCAGUGUGGCCGGUCACCCUCUCAGGCCGGCUACCCGUCGUCGCCUUGGUAGGCCAUCACCCCGACCAACAAGCUGAUAGGCCGCGGGCUCAUCCUGCACCGCCGGAACUUUCCACACCACACCAUGCGGCACGAUGUCAUAUCCGGUAUUAGACCCCGGUUUCCAGGGCUUAUCCCAGAGUGCAGGGCAGAUUACCCCACGUGUUACUCACCCGUUCGCCACUCAUCCACGGUGCAAGCACCGCUUCAGCGUUCGACUUGCAUGUGUUAAGCACGCCGCCAGCGUCGUCCUGAGCACGGAUCGAACUAC
Molecule: ribosomal RNA, 497 nt
Filed under: uncultured Saccharopolyspora sp.
Lineage: Bacteria; Bacillati; Actinomycetota; Actinomycetes; Pseudonocardiales; Pseudonocardiaceae
Description: partial 16S ribosomal RNA
Source: RNAcentral